AGAGAAUAGAUACCCGGGUAGUCCUGGCCCUAAACGCUGCUCGCUCGUUCUGCGGAGUAUCGACCCUCUGCGGGACUAAAGCUAACGCGGUAAGCGAGCCGCCUGGGUAGUACGAGCGCAAGCUUAAAACUCAAAGGAAUAGACGGGGACUCGCACAAGCGGUGGAUCAUGUGGCUUAAUUCGUCGGUAAGCGAAGAACCUUACCCAGGCUAGAAACCAAACUGCAUCCUUUCCGAAAGGAGAGGAGCCUUCGAGGGUGUUUGGCAGGUGAUGCAUGGUUGUCGUCAGUUCGUGGCUUGAGCUGUUCCCUUCAGUGGGGUAACGAACGCAACCCUCGUUGUCUGUUAUAUAUGUCAGGCGAGACUGCCCCCUCACGGGGGAGGAAGGUGAGGAUGACGCCAAAUCAGCAUGUCCCUUGAUGCCUGGGGCUGCACACGUGAUACAAUGGUAGGUAACAGAAGGACGCAAUACCGUAAGGUGGAGCAAAUCCCAAAACCCUACCCAGUACGGAUUGAGGUCUGCAACCGACCUCAUGAAGCCGGAA
This 544-nucleotide ribosomal RNA is filed under the name uncultured bacterium. RNAcentral describes it as "bacterial SSU rRNA". It matches the Rfam family "Bacterial small subunit ribosomal RNA", at positions 774 to 1331 of the family's 1533-position model. The record is from RNAcentral.